CCUACGGGUGGCAGCAGUGAGGAAUAUUGGUCAAUGGGCGCGAGCCUGAACCAGCCAAGUAGCGUGAAGGAGGACGGCCCUACGGGUUGUAAACCUCUUUUGCCGGGGAGCAACGGGCGCCACGUGUGGCGUCACUGAGAGUACUCGGAGAAAAAGCAUCGGCUAACUCAGGGCCAGCAGCCGCGGUAAUAGGGAGGAUGCGAGCGUUAUCCGGAUUUAUUGGGUUUAAAGGGUGCGUGGUGGGAUCGUUAAGUCAGUGGUCAAGUUUAGGGGCUCAACCCCUUCCCGCCAUUGAAACUGGCGUUCUUGAGUGGAAGAGAAGUAUGCGGAAUGCGUGGUGUAGCGGUGAAAUGCAUAGAUAUCACGCAGAACCCCGAUUGCGAAGGCAGCAUGCCGGCUUCCGACUGACGCUGAAGCACGAAAGCGUGGGGAUCGAACAGGAUUAGAUACCCGAGUAGUC
RNAcentral lists this ribosomal RNA (460 nucleotides) under uncultured bacterium. Its description in RNAcentral is "partial 16S ribosomal RNA". It matches the Rfam family "Bacterial small subunit ribosomal RNA", at positions 338 to 795 of the family's 1533-position model. The record is from RNAcentral.